AUGGGUUUUGUGAAACUAAAUGUUGAUGCUUCCUUUGAUCACGAUCUGCUUAGGGGCACGACAGGGGCUGUCCUUAGAGAUGACAAAGGAAGGUUCAUUGUUGGCGGAAAUUGGAGGAUUGAUUGGUGUGCCGAUGUAUUAACAACAGAAGAACUAGCUCUAAGUUUUGGCUUAAUCCUUGCACAGAAGGCGGGUUGCAAUCGCCUUAUUGUCAACUAUGCUAUUAUGAAAGUGAUUGACACAAUGAAACAAUCGGCGGAAGCGGCAGAGGCAGUGUUCGACAACUGCUAUUUUAUGGCAUGUGAUUAUUCUGUUAGUAGGUUUGAACAUUGUAAUUUGGAAGCAAAUAAGGUUUCUCAUGAACUUGCUAGCCUAGUGAAAUUUUCUGAGACUAGGGAUUGGUGUGAAGAGCCUAUGGAUGAUAUUGUAUCUUUUCUUAUUAACGAUGGUACUCUUAUAUCUAAUUAA
Molecule: ribosomal RNA, 468 nt
Filed under: Triticum aestivum (bread wheat)
Lineage: Eukaryota; Viridiplantae; Streptophyta; Magnoliopsida; Poales; Poaceae
Description: partial small subunit ribosomal RNA
Source: RNAcentral